This 429-nucleotide ribosomal RNA is filed under the name Acidobacteriota bacterium. RNAcentral's name for it is "Acidobacteria bacterium partial 16S ribosomal RNA". It matches the Rfam family "Bacterial small subunit ribosomal RNA", at positions 355 to 776 of the family's 1533-position model. The record is from RNAcentral. Lineage: Bacteria; Pseudomonadati; Acidobacteriota.
UGGGGAAUUUUGGACAAUGGGGGAAACCCUGAUCCAGCCAUCCCGCGUGUGCGAUGAAGGCCUUCGGGUUGUAAAGCACUUUUGGCAGGAAAGAAACGUCAUGGGUUAAUACCCCGUGAAACUGACGGUACCUGCAGAAUAAGCACCGGCUAACUACGUGCCAGCAGCCGCGGUAAUACGUAGGGUGCAAGCGUUAAUCGGAAUUACUGGGCGUAAAGCGUGCGCAGGCGGUUCGGAAAGAAAGAUGUGAAAUCCCAGAGCUCAACUUUGGAACUGCAUUUGUGACUACCGGGCUAGAGUGUGUCAGAGGGAGGUUGAAUUCCGCGUGUAGCAGUGAAAUGCGUAGAUAUGCGGAGGAACACCGAUGGCGAAGACAGCCUCCUGGGAUAACAAUGACGCUCAUGCACGAAAGCGUGGGGAGCAAACAGG